AUUCCAGCUCCAAUAGCGUAUAUUAAAGUUGUUGCAGUUAAAAAGCUCGUAGUUGAAUUUCUGGUGGGAGUGUACAGUCCGACACUGAGUGUUGGUUCUUGUGUGUCUCCGGCCAUCCUUGGAGUGAAUCUGUCUGGCAUUUAGUUGUUGGGCAGAGUAUCUCCAUCGUUUACUGUGAGGAAAGGAAAGUGUUCAAAGCAGGCUUACGCCGUUGAAUCUUUUAGCAUGGAAUAAUAAGAUAGGAUCUUGAUACUAUUUUGUUGGUUUUCGGAAAUCGAGUUAAUGAUUAACAGGGACAAUUGGGGGCAUUAGUAUUCAGACGACAGAGGUGAAAUUCUCAGACCAGCGGAAGACGAACCACUGCGAAAGCAUUUGCCAGGGAUGUUUUCAUUG
RNAcentral lists this ribosomal RNA (393 nucleotides) under Eucampia sp. RNAcentral's name for it is "partial small subunit ribosomal RNA". It matches the Rfam family "Eukaryotic small subunit ribosomal RNA", at positions 582 to 975 of the family's 1831-position model. Lineage: Eukaryota; Bacillariophyta; Thalassiosirophyceae; Eucampiales; Eucampiaceae. The record is from RNAcentral.